This 873-nucleotide long non-coding RNA is filed under the name Ananas comosus (pineapple). RNAcentral's name for it is "long non-coding RNA (ACOM_LNC018394)". Lineage: Eukaryota; Viridiplantae; Streptophyta; Magnoliopsida; Poales; Bromeliaceae. The record is from RNAcentral.
UAUUGUUUCACUAAUAAAGUUACCCGCGCAUUACGGCGGAAUGAUACUAUAGAAUAUAAAAUAUAAAUAAAAUAAAAAUUUUAAAUUUUUUGAUUUGAUAUGGGACUUCAAUAAACACAAAUAUAAAAUAUAAAAUAGAUAUAGAUAUAGAUAUAACAAAAUUUAUAAUUUCGAUAAAUAAAUCACACAUAAUAAUAAUAAAAUAAGCAAUAAAAUUUUUUUUACCCUAUACACAUCUUCAUUGCACUAUCGAUAUCGGAGAGGUAAAUUCCGAUCUUUACAUCGCCUUCGCCGCUAGUGUCCAGCUCCUCUUUAGUCACAACCAUAUCAAUCCUGUAUCCACAACUGCUUCUUCUCUGUCACUGACUCCAAAUCCAUCACCGUUUUCUUCUGCAGCGCUCCGUCGCCAUCCUCGAAACCCUAAUUUCAAUCCACACACAACAAAAAAUUUUAAAAAGUUACAAAACAUGAGCCAUUUUUGUGCGCCAAGAAAAAAAGAAAAAAAAAGAUAUGAAGAAAUGGAGAUUAAACCAUAUAAACAUAUUAAUUGAGAGAUAAGGGGGAGAAAAAAAAAUAAUAUGAAAAAAAAGAUAUGAAGAAAUGGAGAUAAAACCAUGUAAACAUAUUAAUUAAGAGAUAGGGGGGUUAGGAAGAUGAAGCAUUAGGUGGAGAUGGUAUUAUGUAAACAUAUUAAUUGAGUAGGGGUUUAGGAAGAUGAAACAUUGGGUGAAAAUGGGAGUGGAAAGAGAGAAGAAAAAAAAGUGAAGGAGAAUUUGCCACAUGGUAAAAAAUUAGGAGAAAUAAUGUAUAGGUAUAAAUAUAGAUAUAGAUAUAGAUAUAUAAAUAUAUGUUGCAUGUAAAUUCAUAUAUAUU